This is a long non-coding RNA of Drosophila montana, 617 nucleotides long. RefSeq lists it as uncharacterized. The record is from RefSeq and is a predicted model, not a curated record. NCBI's taxonomy places the organism in Eukaryota, Metazoa, Arthropoda, Insecta, Diptera, Drosophilidae. The transcript has 2 exons.
GUAAAUCCAUUCCUCCUCAUUUUGAAAUCUCUUUAUGAAAAUUCAGUUGAGACGUGUAAAUACGAAUGAGAAAAUGACUGCAAAACGAAACUUUCAAUACGUAAAAUGUGUUUCAAUAGGCGUUGCUUUAUAUUUACCCUCCCAACUUUUGUAGAAUGCUUCAGUUUCCGGACAAAACUCAAGCUGAGAGUAGGCUCUAGGAGAACAGAAUUCUCCAGAAAUAAAAAAAGCUUAAAUUCUUCGGAUCACCAUGUGCUGCGGAAGUCGCUACUACCGGGAGACACCCUGUGUCCAGUGCUGCCUAGUCGACUGCAGCUAUAGCUGCUACCGCACCAGCUGCGCCGGACCCUGCGGCCCGUGUGCUACCGCGGCACCGUGCUGCUGCGGAGCUGUCGGCGAUUUGAACUACAAAUAUUCGUUCUUCGGACUGCAUUUGCUGUGAUGAAUAAUGAUAAAUGAUGAUGAAUGAUAAUGAAUGGUCUAAUGUCUGCAGCGAUAAAGGAAUAAUCUAGCAGCACCUGGUGCAUUGUCCUUAACACCUGAAUGAAGGUCAAUAGAGCCUACAGACCAGACCAAAUUAAAUUUAUUUGUUAAUUAAAUAAAUUUGUUAAUUUAAA